AUCCCUUCUCAGCCUUUUGGCUGAGAUCAAGUGUAGUAUACGCAUUCCUACCCACUUUCAAUCACAUGCAAAUUAAGGGGCAGGCUAAUGCAAAUUAAGGGGCAGGUUAAUGCAAAUUAAGGAGUGGGUUUUUAGAGUUUUCUAGGAAAGAGGUAGCAACUUCCUGGUCAUUGCCAAGACAUUUGUACACUGUCAUGGCACUGGUAGGAGUGUC
Molecule: small nuclear RNA, 214 nt
Filed under: Homo sapiens (human)
Lineage: Eukaryota; Metazoa; Chordata; Mammalia; Primates; Hominidae
Description: U2 spliceosomal RNA
Source: Rfam by way of RNAcentral